AAGUCGUAACAAGGUUUCCGUAGGUGAACCUGCGGAAGGAUCAUUACAAUCAGUAGAUUUCUACUGCUGAGAGAGAGCGGAAAGUAGUCAGCUGCCCCUGGUAGCCUGGCUGCAAGUAUGUUCUCUGUCUGUACCCUUGUCUUUUAUGCGUACUCAUGUUUCCUCGGCGGGCUUGCCCGCCGGUUGGACAACCUUACAAACUUUUUAAUUCUCAAUCAGCGUCUGAAUAAUUAUAAUAAUUACAACUUUCAACAACGGAUCUCUUGGUUCUG
RNAcentral lists this unclassified non-coding RNA (272 nucleotides) under air metagenome. Its description in RNAcentral is "partial contains small subunit ribosomal RNA, internal transcribed spacer 1, and 5.8S ribosomal RNA". The stretch from base 1 to 46 matches the Rfam family "Eukaryotic small subunit ribosomal RNA", at positions 1786 to 1831 of the family's 1831-position model. The record is from RNAcentral.